RNAcentral lists this ribosomal RNA (253 nucleotides) under uncultured bacterium. RNAcentral's name for it is "partial 16S ribosomal RNA". It matches the Rfam family "Bacterial small subunit ribosomal RNA", at positions 524 to 776 of the family's 1533-position model. The record is from RNAcentral.
UACAGAGGUCUCAAGCGUUGUUCGGAUUCAUUGGGCGUAAAGGGUGCGUAGGCGGCGCGGUAAGUCGGAUGUGAAAUCUCGGAGCUUAACUUCGAAACUGCAUUCGAUACUGCCGUGCUUGAGGACUGGAGAGGAGACUGGAAUUUACGGUGUAGCGGUGAAAUGCGCAGAUAUCAGGAAGAACACCCGUGGCGAAGGCGGCUCUCUGGGACGGUACUGACGCUGAGACGCGAAAGCGUGGGGAGCGAACAGG